AUACGGAGGAUCCGAGCGUUAUCCGGAUUUAUUGGGUUUAAAGGGAGCGUAGGUGGACAGUUAAGUCAGUUGUGAAAGUUUGCGGCUCAACCGUAAAAUUGCAGUUGAUACUGGCUGUCUUGAGUACCGUAGAGGUGGGCGGAAUUCGUGGGGUAGCGGGUAAAUGCUUAGAUAUAACGAAGAACUCCGAUUGGGAAGGCAGCUCACUGGACUGCAACUGACACUGAUGCUCGAAAGUGCGGGUAUCAAACAGGAUUAGAUACCCUGGUAGUCCGCACAGUAAACGAUGAAUACUCGCUGUUUGCGAUACACUGUAAGCGGCCAAGCGAAAGCGUUAAGUAUUCCACCUGGGGAGUACGCCGGCAACGGUGAAACUCAAAGGAAUUGACGGGG
This 393-nucleotide ribosomal RNA is filed under the name uncultured bacterium. RNAcentral describes it as "partial 16S ribosomal RNA". It matches the Rfam family "Bacterial small subunit ribosomal RNA", at positions 523 to 918 of the family's 1533-position model. The record is from RNAcentral.